CCCCCGGCCCCGACCCGGAGGGAUGCGGAGUGGCGGCGGCGGCAGUCGCGGAGACUGUGGCUUUAAGAGCGCGCCCGGAGCCCGGGAGCCAGCCGGGCGGUCCUUCGCUGCUGCGCACCCCGGCGGAGCCGAGCCCAGCGCUGGCCGGACGGGGCAGCCUGCUGCCGGGCUGCUGAGAACCAGCCCUCGACCUCUGCUUGAGGGUCCUUCCUCUGAAGACAUCACCAGUGUGUGGAGCCUGCCCCACACCCACCCCCUGCCAAACCACGGCCUUUACCUGUGUCUUCCGGUGUUUCCCGUGCGACCCGUCCUGUGGGAGUGCCUCGUGGGCCACUCCAGAGUUCACCCCACACUCAGCGGCGCCAAUGGUGAAGAUGACAAGAUCCAAGACUUUCCAGGCAUAUCUGCCCUCCUGCCACAGGACCUACAGCUGCAUUCACUGCAGAGCCCACUUGGCCAAUCACGAUGAACUCAUUUCCAAGUCGUUCCAAGGAAGUCAAGGACGAGCAUACCUCUUUAACUCAGUAGUUAAUGUGGGCUGCGGGCCUGCAGAAGAGCGAGUGUUGCUAACAGGACUCCAUGCAGUUGCAGACAUUUACUGUGAAAACUGCAAAACCACUCUGGGCUGGAAAUAUGAACAUGCCUUUGAAAGCAGCCAGAAAUAUAAAGAAGGCAAAUACAUCAUUGAGCUAGCACACAUGAUCAAGGACAAUGGCUGGGACUGAUCGGAGGGUAUCCACCUAACCCAGUGUCCACGUGAACACCAUCCAACCGAACAUUCUACCCAAGCGUGAGAGAGUGACUGAACACUUGGUUCCAUCCAUUUAGGGGCCUUGCCAUCUGGGGCAUUCUCCCACCCUGACGCCGUCUUUCUGGUGACCGGCCUCUAAAUCGCUGUCUCUCUGUCUCUUUGCUUUGUAUCUGUUUGUGAGUUGAUCCUGGCUUCUCUCUCUGUUCUAGUGUUGGCUGAAAACACAACAACGAAAGGAACAGAUGCCUGACCGCAUGGCGGCAACCCACCUUGGUGAAAGCUUUGAAUACAUUCAUUCAAUGAAUCAAGAAGCAUUGAUUGAGCACCUAAUAUAUGCUGAGUAAUGGUAAGUAAAACUUUUUCUGUAAAGGGCCAGAUAGCAAAUAUUUUAGGCUUUGAGGGCCAAAUCGUCUCUAUCACAACUACUCAGCUCUGCCAGUUGUAGUUACAAAGCAGCCUAAGACAAUACAUAAACAAGUGGUGUGCUGUGUUCCAAUAAAACUUUAUUUACAACAGACAGCAGUCCAGAUUUGGCCCCUUGGCUAUAGUAUGCCUAUCUCUGAUCUAGAAAAUCUUAGGGAAUUUGAAGCCUAAUGCAACAGUUUUCUCUAAGGAAAUCUACAUGUUUAUGCUUUGCCUAUUCAGACAAGGAAUUAGGGUGAUAUCACUAUGAUUUUAAGUUAUAUUUAUAAGUAGUUUACCCCAAAUAUUACUCUGUUAUCAUUUAGUAUAAUACAGGCUAUCAUAAUUAUUCUAUAAACAUUAACAAGUUACCAUACACAUUGGAAAUAAUGCUGGUCCAACCAAGCUACUGAAGUUAGUUUGGCAAGACUAUCUGAAUAUGAAUUUAAUUUAGGAUAAUUUUUCAGAAGGAGAACCAUUUACGUGAAAGAGUACUGAAUAGUUGACUGAGCUAGUUAUCUUAAUGGUGUGAUUCAAUUCCUGUUUUGACUGCAUGUGAAACUGUUGUGAAGAGAUAACAUAAAGCUGAGCAAACCUGCUUGUCCUCUGAGUCCUAUGGGACUUACUAACUACUUGGAACUUUCAAAAAGUUGUUAUAAAGAGAACAAAUGAAGAAUAUAUCACUUUUAUCUUUCUAUUCUCAGUGAAGUAAUAGUACAUAGAAGAUGCUCAAAAAAUUUUUGCUUUAUAAAUGGAAGGCAACAGACUUUGGUUGGCCAUGGUAACUUAUUUAGAUGUCACUUUUGUGAAAUAUUCACUAAAGAUACCUAGCUAUUUACAAGCCUGUAGAUACUGUGUUUUGGCGCCCAAAAGCUCUUUGUAGCUCCCUUCUCCUUCACUUUCUUCUACUGUAGACUGCCUUGCAGGGAAAGGGACCAUGAUGUUCCAAUUCUGGCCAACAAGAUAUAAACAUAAGGAUCUGCUUGGGGCUUCUGAGAACAUUUCCUGAUAGGGACUGAUUCAGUUUGACCUCUUAUCCCUUCCCUCUUCUUCCUGACACAGAUACAAUACCUUAGAAGUGCAGUAGCCAUCUUAGAAUGGGACAAAAGCGACAGACUAAGGAUGGUGAAGUAAAAAAGAAAGAAGAAGCCUUGACGACAUCAUUGAGCAGCUGCAUUAGCCCUGAACUGACCACAUUUGGGUUUAUUACAUGAGAAGAAAUUUAGUCCCCGGGGGGUAAAGCCAUUGUUUGGUCUUCUAUGACUUGCAACCCAACCCAAUUCUAUCUAUUUGGGGGCUCCAGAUCCAGAAUUUGGAAAAAACCUGUAUAAAAAAAAAAACUAGCUUAAAAUGUCAAGGAAACCACCAAAAGGCCGAGAUUUUUCUUGGCUAAGAGGGAGUAGGCAGAUAACAACCAAAUGCAAAAUAGAGUUUCCUUCUAUUCUUUUUUUUUUUUUUUAAGAUUUUAUUUAUUUAUUUGACAGAGAGAGACAGAGAGAGUAGGAACACAAACAGGGGGAGUGGGAGAGGGAGAAGCAGGCUUCCCGCUGAGCAGGGAGCCCGAUGCGGGGCUCGAUCCCAGGACCCUGGGAUCGUGACUUGAGCCGAAGGCAGACCCUUAACGACUGAGCCACCCAGGCGCCCUGAGUUUCCUUCAUUCUUACACUCCAUCAGCAUUGCUCAGGAGAUGAAAUUUCCAGCAUCCAAUGCAGCUGUAUUAAUUUUCUGACUUCCUGUGCCACUUUGGAAAGUUGGGUUAAAGACAUUUAAAAUCUUGUUAUAAACUCAAAUAAUAUAUAAAGAUCAAAAUUCGUUUGUAUACUUAGGAAGAAGUCCUAUUACAAUACAUCAAGUUCAAAGAAAAUGUUUUACAACAUAGCUUCUAAGAGUAUCAAAGGUAUUGUCAACAGAUUGUUUCUGAACUUGUUUUAGGUAGCAAACACUUUAUGCCAACAAACUAUCCAAAAAGUAUUUAAUAAUAUAUGAAUAUGGUCUACUUUUUAGAGUUUCAUGGCCCCUAAACCAUCAUAUUUUGUGACAUAUACAUUAGCUUUUUUUUUUUUAAAAGAUUUUAUUUAUUUAUUUGAGAGAGAGUGAGUACAUGAGAGGGGGGAGGGUCAGAGGGAGAAGCAGACCCCCCGCCAAGCAGGGAGCCCGAUGCGGGACUCGAUCCCCGGACUCCAGGAUCAUGACCUGAGCCGAAGGCAGUCGCUUAACCAACUGAGCCACCCAGGCGCCCUAUACAUUAGCUUUUAAAGACCUUUGAAAUCUUGGAUUUUAGGAGCACCCAGUUGCCAAAAUUUGGGCAAUUUGGGCAUCAAAAAAUUAAUGAUGGUAAUGGAUUAUAACACAUUAAAUGAAAUGUAAAAAUAUCUAUGAGUUCACAGUGAUUCAAAAGCAUGCCAGCUAGUAAAUGUAGAUGAAUAAGGGAGUUUGCAACUGCCAAUAUAGUAAUUGCUUCAGUGUACCACCAUUAACAGAUGCUAAAGCUAUUGAGUGAAAGGAUGUUAGGGAACAAAAUAAUCACAUGGCUUCAAAGUAGCAUCUCAGAGAUCAGUUAAUAAUUCCAAAAGGAAGAUGUACCUUUACCAUGGUGAGACCUGGUAGACAUACUCUUCCAAGCAGUCAAACUUCGGCAUCAGCAAUGGUAAGACGAUGGGCACUGAUCUUACACACUAAGAGGUACACAACACCCCCUAAGCAGAAUUCUUUCCUGAAUCUAAACAAGGAAAUAGUCAGGCAAAUCCAGAAUUUGGAAAAAACCUGUAUAAAAAAAAAAAAAAACUAGCUUAAAAUGUCAAGGAAACCACCAAAAGGCAGAGAUUUUUCUUGGCUAAGAGGGAGUAAGCAGAUAACAACCAAAUGCAAUGUGUAAAUCUUCAUUAGACUGCACCUUAGAGGAGAAAAAAGUCUGCUUAUGAAAGACAUUUUUAAAAUCUUAAAAAAAAAAAAGGGACACCUGGGUGGCUCAGUCCAUUAAGCAUCUGCCUUCGGCUCAGGUCAAGAUCCCAGGGUCCUGGGAUCGAGUCCCGCAUUGGGCUCCCUGCUCAGCGGGGAGCCUGCUUCUCCUUCUGCCUGCCGCUCCCCCUGCUUUUGUGCUCUCUCUCUCUCUCCCUCUCUCUGACAAAUAAAUAAAAUCUUUUUUUUUAAAAAAAGACAAUUUUAAGACCAUUGGAGGAAUUUGAAUAUAGAGAAUAUAUUCAAUUGCAUUAUUGAAUUAAUGUUAAUUUUCUUAGGUGUGAUAGUAGUGGUAUUGUGGUUAUUUAUUAGAAUGUCUUUUUUCUAGAAGAUCCAUAUUUUAGGCAUUUAGGGGUAAAGUGUCAUGAUGACUGCAUCCUACUUUUUUUUUCUUUUUUUAAGAUUUAUUUUUAGGGGCACCUGGGUGGCUCAGAUGGUUAAAUAUCUGCCUUUGGCCCAGGUCACGAUCUCCAGGUCCUGGGAUCGAGCCCUAUGUCGGGCUCCCAGAUCAGCGGGGAUUCUGCUUCUCCCUCUUCCUCUGCCUCUCCCCCUCCUUGUGCUCUGUGUGUGUGUCUAUCUCUCAAAUGAAUAAAUAAAAUCUUCAAAAAAAAUUUAUCUUUAAGUAAUCUCUACACCCAACAUGGAGCUCGAACUUACAAUCCUGAGAUCAAAAGUUGGGGAAUAUUGAAGUGGAGACUUAGAUACAUAAAUGAAAGGAGCACAAAGAUUGGUUUAAGGGGUAUUGAGAUAAUGUCCAAGUUUUCUACACUAUUCUAGGAUAUGCUGGUUUGGUUUCACCUGGAGAAUCCUGCACCUCUUUAUCACACAAAGUUGUAUCGCAGGCAGACUAGGCUGAAUCCCACCCAGGGUGAUCACCUGUCCCGGUUUGACCAGGACCAAGGGAUUUCCCAAGAAUGGGACAUUCAGUGCUAAAAUUGGGACAGUCCUGGGCAAACUGGCUCUAAGGUCACCCUAAUAUUUCUACUUACCACCUAUGUGACCUUGAGCAAAUCAUUUAGCUCCCCAGAGUCUUGGUUUCCUCAUCUAUAAAAAGGAGAUUACAUAUGUGCUACAAAAUGGAUGAACCUUGAAAAUAUUAUGCUAAGUGAAAGAAGUCAGACACAAACAUCAUAUAUUAUAGGAUGAUUCCAUUUAUAUGAAAUUUCCAGGAUAGGCAAAUCCAUAGAGACAGACAACAGAUUAGUGCCUGCCAGAGCCUGGAGGGUAUGAUUGCUAAGGGGUAUGAGAUUUCUUUUUGGGAUGAUGAAAAUGUUCUAGAAUUAGGUAGUAGCAGUUGUACAGCCCUGUGCAUAUACUAAAAAAACCACUGAAUUGUACAUUUUAAGAGGGCAGAUUUUACGAUAUAUGAUGAUCUCUCAAUAAAGCUGUUAUUUAAAUAAUUGAGUAACACAGCAUCACCAACAAUUCCACUCUUAGGAAUAGGUAAAUCUAUAGAGACAGAAACAAAAUUAGCGGGGCGCCUGGGUGGCUCAGUCAUUAAGCGUCUGCCUUCAGCUCAGGUCAUGGUCCCAGGGUCCUGGGAUGGAGCCCCGCAUCGGGCUCCUGGAUGCUCAGCGGGAGGCCUGCUUCUCCCUCUCCCACUCCCUCUGCUUGUGUUGCCUCUCUCGGUGUGUAUCUCUCUGUCAAAUAAAUAAAUAAAAUCUUUAAAAAAGAAAAAGAUUUUAUUUAUUUAUUUCACAAAGAGAGAGAGAAACAAAAUUAGCGGUGACCUUGGGCUGGGAGGAGUGGAGGAAAAUGGGGAGUGACUGCUCCUGAGAGUGGGGUGUCUUUUGGAGGGAUGAAAAUGUUCUAAAAUUGAUUGUGGUCAUGGUUACAUAUCUCUGUCAGUAUACUAAAAACUAAUGAAUGGUACACUUUAAGAUUUUAUUUAUUUAUUUGAGAGAGAGAGAGAUCAGGAGCAGGGCAGGGUUGGGGGAGAGAGAGAGAGAGCAUGAGUCGGGUGAGGAGCAGAGGGAGAGGGAGAAGCAGGCUCCCCGCUAAGCAGGAAGCCCGAUAUCAGACUUGAUCCCAGGACCCUGGGAUCAUGAACUGAGCAGAAGGCAGAUGUUUAACCAGCUGAGCCACCUGGGGGCCCCAUUUGUUGUUUGUUUGUUUGUUUUUAAAGAUUUUAUUUAUUUAUUUGAGAGAGAGAGAAUGAGAGACAGAGAGCACGAGAGGGAGGAGGGUCAGAAGGAGAAGCAGACGCCCUGCCGAGCAGGGAGCCCGAUGCAGGACUCGAUCCCGGGACUCCAGGAUCAUGACCUGAGCCGAAGGCAGUCGCUCAACCAACUGAGCCACCCAGGCGCCCGUGGGGGCCCCAUUUGAAUGGUAUACUUUAAAUGGGUGAAUCGACUUGCAUGGUAUGUGAAUUAUAGCUUGAUAAGGCAUUAAACAGGUAAUACGGUAAAAGUAUUUUAGGUUAAACAAAGGAGAUUAUAAUACCUAUGUGAGGUCUAAAUGAGUCUUUGCUCUCAUAACGCUCACACCCCCUCCCAAAACACACUAUCACACCAAAUCAUCAUUGUGUAGGCUUUUUUUCUUGCCCACUGAGCUGAGAACCGUUUGAUAACAGAAACUUUCUAAUUCACAGAGGGCCAGUUUCCUGGGCAUGGAACCUACUCAGUCACACAAGACCCCUACUCAGAAGAGCCCCACAUUUGGUUUAACGCUCUGCUGUCACUGUCUUUUUUUUUUUAAGAUUUUAUUUAUUUAUUUGAGAGAGAGAAAGCACAGGAGAGGGGGGAGGGUCAGAGGGAGAAGCAGACUCCCCGCCGAGCAGGGAGCCCAAUGCGGGACUCGAUCCCGGGACUCCAGGAUCAUGACCUGAGCCGAAGGCAGUGGCUUAACCAACUGAGCCACCCAGGCGCCCUGCUGUCACUGUCUUGAAAUUCUUAAUAUCUGAAUGAGGUGCAGGCGACCCUCAUUUCCAUUUUGCACUGGGCCCGGCAAAGUUUGUAGCUUACUGAAUCCACCUUUGUACCCCCAACAUUUAGCAUAGUACUGAUGCUCAGUGGGUGUUCUCUAUCCCAAUCCCAGUGCCCUGAGACUUUGCUCAGAACAGCUCAUUGACUUUCAACACCGAUUUAUCCAGAGUCUCCUACGUGCCAGGAAGCGUGUCAGCAGCUGGGGACACCGUGGGGAGCCAAAGCAGGCAGCAGGCUGCGGCAAGGGACUGGCUCAGAAGGAGGCUGUUCCCGCAGGUAAAUGUGCCCACCUAACCACUUGUCUCAGACAGCAGUGACAACGUUUGACUCAUUUGUACUUUCAGUUCAAGAAAAACACGUCACCUUGGGAUCCGAUUUUUGCAAGUUCUGCUUUAUCACAGGAACUAGAAGACUCUGAUGAAUGAGGAUGGGACUUCAGUUCUUUUCCAUGGUGUGAAUAAAAAGUUGACUCUG
Molecule: RNA transcript, 7509 nt
Organism: Mirounga angustirostris (Northern elephant seal)
Lineage: Eukaryota; Metazoa; Chordata; Mammalia; Carnivora; Phocidae
Gene: YPEL2
Gene name: yippee like 2
Exons: 6
Source: RefSeq, a predicted model, not a curated record